This 550-nucleotide ribosomal RNA is filed under the name uncultured bacterium. RNAcentral's name for it is "bacterial SSU rRNA". It matches the Rfam family "Bacterial small subunit ribosomal RNA", at positions 355 to 896 of the family's 1533-position model. The record is from RNAcentral.
UAGGGAAUCUUCGGCAAUGGACGGAAGUCUGACCGAGCAACGCCGCGUGAGUGAAGAAGGUUUUCGGAUCGUAAAGCUCUGUUGUAAGAGAAGAACGAGCGUGAGAGUGGAAAGUUCACACUGUGACGGUAUCUUACCAGAAAGGGACGGCUAACUACGUGCCAGCAGCCGCGGUAAUACGUAGGUCCCGAGCGUUGUCCGGAUUUAUUGGGCGUAAAGCGAGCGCAGGCGGUUAGAUAAGUCUGAAGUUAAAGGCUGUGGCUUAACCAUAGUACGCUUUGGAAACUGUUUAACUUGAGUGCAAGAGGGGAGAGUGGAAUUCCAUGUGUAGCGGUGAAAUGCGUAGAUAUAUGGAGGAACACCGGUGGCGAAAGCGGCUCUCUGGCUUGUAACUGACGCUGAGGCUCGAAAGCGUGGGGAGCAAACAGGAUUAGAUACCCUGGUGGUCCACGCCGUAAACGAUGAGUGCUAGGUGUUAGACCCUUUCCGGGGUUUAGUGCCGUAGCUAACGCAUUAAGCACUCCGCCUGGGGAGUACGACCGCAAGGUUG